RNAcentral lists this ribosomal RNA (301 nucleotides) under uncultured bacterium. Its description in RNAcentral is "partial 16S ribosomal RNA". It matches the Rfam family "Bacterial small subunit ribosomal RNA", at positions 509 to 807 of the family's 1533-position model. The record is from RNAcentral.
CAGCCGCCGCGGGAAUACGAAGGGUGCAAGCGUUACUCGGAAUUACUGGGCGUAAAGCGUGCGUAGGUGGUGGUUUAAGUCCGUUGUGAAAGCCCUGGGCUCAACCUGGGAAUUGCAGUGGAUACUGGGUCACUAGAGUGUGGUAGAGGAUAGUGGAAUUUCCGGUGUAGCAGUGAAAUGCGUAGAGAUCGGAAGGAACAUCUGUGGCGAAGGCGGCCAUCUGGGACAACACUGACGCUGAGGCACGAAAGCGUGGGGAGCAAACAGGAUUAGAGACCCGCGUAGUCCCUGUCUCUUAUAC